CUGGGGUUGAACAGUAUGGUGUGAGAACAGGUCCUGUAGCAGGGGAAGCUGGGGUUGAACAGUAUGGUGUGAGAACAGGUCCUGUAGCAGGGGAAGCUGGGGUUGAACAGUAUGGAGUGAGAGCAGGUCCUGUAGCAGGGGAAGCUGGGGUUGAACAGUAUGUAGUGAGAGCAGGUCCUGUAGCAGGGGAAGCUGGGGUUGAACAGUAUGGAGUGAGAGCAGGUCCUGUAGCAGGGGAAGCUGGGGUUGAACAGGAUGUAGUGAGAACAGGUCCUGUAGCAGGGGAAGCUGGGGUUGAACAGUAUGUAGUGAGAGCAGGUCCUGUAGCAGGGGAAGCUGGGUUUGAACAGUAUGUAGUGAGAGCAGGUCCUGUAGCAGGGGAAGCUGGGAUUGAACAGUAUGUAGUGAGAGCAGGUCCUGUAGCAGGGGAAGCUGGGGUUGAACAGUAUGUAGUGAGAACAGGUCCUGUAGCAGGGGAAGCUGGGUUUGAACAGUAUGUAGUGAGAGCAGGUCCUGUAGCAGGGGAAGCUGGGGUUUUAACAGGAUAGAGAGAGAACAGGUCCUGUAGCAGGGGAAGCUGGGGAUGAACAGGAUGGUGUGAGAACAGGUCCUGUAGCAGGGGAAGCUGGGGUUGAACAGACAGACAGAGUGACUGAGGAAGAGGAGACUCUCUAAGACAGCAGACAGAGUGACUGAGGAAGAGGAGACUCUCUAAGACAGCAGACAGAGUGACUGAGGAAGAGGAGACUCUCUAAGACAGUAUGAAGGUAGGUGCCAAGCGUACCAGUUUGAGUGUCAAGAACUGCAAUGCUGCUGAGUUUUUCACGCUCAACAGUUUCCUUGUGUGUAUCAAGAAUGGUCCACCACCCAAAGGACAUCCAGCCAACUUGACAC
This 894-nucleotide long non-coding RNA is filed under the name Salmo salar (Atlantic salmon). RNAcentral's name for it is "lncRNA (ENSSSAG00000117815.1)". The record is from RNAcentral. Lineage: Eukaryota; Metazoa; Chordata; Actinopteri; Salmoniformes; Salmonidae.